GACAGAGGCCACGAGCGUUAGGCGGAAUCACUGGGCUUAAAGCGUGUGUAGGCGGAGGCGUAAGUGUCUUGUGAAAUCCCACGGCUCAACCGUGGAACUGCUGGGCAUACUGCGUCUCUUGAGCCGGCCAGGGGUCACCGGAACAAGCGGUGGAGCGGUGAAAUGCGUAGAUAUCGCUUGGAACGCCAACGGUGAAAACAGGUGACUGGGGCCGCGCUGACGCUGAGACACGAAAGCCAGGGGAGCGAACGGG
RNAcentral lists this ribosomal RNA (253 nucleotides) under uncultured bacterium. Its description in RNAcentral is "partial 16S ribosomal RNA". It matches the Rfam family "Bacterial small subunit ribosomal RNA", at positions 524 to 776 of the family's 1533-position model. RNAcentral also lists the same sequence under 1 other name. The record is from RNAcentral.